Molecule: transfer RNA, 63 nt
Filed under: Camelus ferus (Wild Bactrian camel)
Lineage: Eukaryota; Metazoa; Chordata; Mammalia; Artiodactyla; Camelidae
Rfam family: tRNA
About the family: Transfer RNA (tRNA) molecules are approximately 80 nucleotides in length. Their secondary structure includes four short double-helical elements and three loops (D, anti-codon, and T loops).
Source: Rfam by way of RNAcentral
GUAUAGCUCAGUGGCAGAGCACAUGCUUAGCAAGCAUGAGGUCCUGGGUUCAUUCCCUACUAC